ACAAACUUGGUCAUUUAGAGGAAGUAAAAGUCGUAACAAGGUCUCCGUAGGUGAACCUGCGGAGGGAUCAUUGCAGAAACACAUAACCCAGGAACUCUUUUCCUGGGCAAACAACCAACACACAUGACUAGGAAAAGCAAAGCAAACAGAGAUUGUGGAGGAAUUGGCUUGGCCGGCUUGGCUUGGCUUGGCUUGGCUUGGGUCCUCGCACACAAGAAGAGAAGAAGCUCUUGUCUGAUAAGUAGCUUGCUGAUUUGGAGUUACUACAAUACAAUACAACUUUCAACAACGGAUCUCUUGGCUCUCACAUCGAUGAAGAACGCAGC
Molecule: unclassified non-coding RNA, 326 nt
Filed under: uncultured fungus
Lineage: Eukaryota; Fungi
Description: partial contains small subunit ribosomal RNA, internal transcribed spacer 1, and 5.8S ribosomal RNA
Rfam family: Eukaryotic small subunit ribosomal RNA (bases 1-73)
Source: RNAcentral